This 496-nucleotide ribosomal RNA is filed under the name uncultured bacterium. RNAcentral describes it as "partial 16S ribosomal RNA". It matches the Rfam family "Bacterial small subunit ribosomal RNA", at positions 30 to 523 of the family's 1533-position model. The record is from RNAcentral.
AUUGAACGCUGGCGGAAUGCUUUACACAUGCAAGUCGAACGGUAGAGGGGGCAACCCCUCGAGAGUGGCGAACGGGUGAGUAAUAUAUCGGAACGUGCCCAGUCGUGGGGGAUAACGUAGCGAAAGUUACGCUAAUACCGCAUACGAUCUAAGGAUGAAAGCGGGGGAUCGCAAGACCUCGCGCGACUGGAGCGGCCGAUAUCAGAUUAGGUAGUUGGUGGGGGAAAGGCUAACCAAGCCAACGAUCUGUAGCGGGUCUGAGAGGACGACCAGCCACACUGGAACUGAGACACGGUCCAGACUCCUACGGGAGGCAGCAGUGGGGAAUUUUGGACAAUGGACGCAAGUCUGAUCCAGCCAUUCCGCGUGCAGGAUGAAGGCCCUCGGGUUGUAAACUGCUUUUGUACGGAACGAAAAGGUCUCUCUUAAUACGGGGGACUCAUGACGGUACCGUAAGAAUAAGCACCGGCUAACUACGUGCCAGCCGCCGCCGUAA